AUCACUAUUACUCCCUGUGUAUCACAAUACUUGUAGUUGGGGGCACUUGUAUUAGUGUUCCCCACCAAGUAUUUAGGUACAGAGGGAGUAGNAACUUC
Molecule: microRNA precursor, 98 nt
Filed under: Hordeum vulgare
Lineage: Eukaryota; Viridiplantae; Streptophyta; Magnoliopsida; Poales; Poaceae
Description: miR5049b stem-loop (hvu-MIR5049b)
Source: miRBase by way of RNAcentral